UAUUACUACUGCCGUUGCCAUCAGAAUU
This 28-nucleotide non-coding RNA is filed under the name Cricetulus griseus (Chinese hamster). Lineage: Eukaryota; Metazoa; Chordata; Mammalia; Rodentia; Cricetidae. The record is from RNAcentral.